AGCUCCAACCCGAGGCUUUCCGCCGCGGUACGGAGGUUCUUCAACUGCGUAUCCGAGGUCGGACUUGUGGGGUUGAUGGCCACAGCGAAUACAUUGGUGCUUGGGCGGACCUCAUGCAUGAACUCCAGGCGUUUACGCGACACCGNGCUCUGGCUGGACACACCGGUAAGAUUCCCUCCCGGCCGGGACAUACUGCCCACCACGCCG
RNAcentral lists this unclassified non-coding RNA (207 nucleotides) under Hevea brasiliensis (rubber tree). Lineage: Eukaryota; Viridiplantae; Streptophyta; Magnoliopsida; Malpighiales; Euphorbiaceae. The record is from RNAcentral.